This 756-nucleotide unclassified non-coding RNA is filed under the name uncultured Prochlorococcus sp. RNAcentral's name for it is "partial 16S-23S ribosomal RNA intergenic spacer; may also contain 16S ribosomal RNA and 23S ribosomal RNA". The stretch from base 1 to 93 matches the Rfam family "Bacterial small subunit ribosomal RNA", at positions 1441 to 1533 of the family's 1533-position model. The record is from RNAcentral. Lineage: Bacteria; Bacillati; Cyanobacteriota; Cyanophyceae; Synechococcales; Prochlorococcaceae.
UUGUGGAGGAGGACGCCGAAGGUGGGGCUGAUGACUGGGGUGAAGUCGUAACAAGGUAGCCGUACCGGAAGGUGCGGCUGGAUCACCUCCUAACAGGGAGACAAACAUUGAUUAUGAUGUCUAAAUUUUAUUUUUAGGCCAUAAUCCUGUCACCUUAGGUCGAUCGGUACCUCAGAUUAAGAGUCAAAAAAUAUUUAUUUUUGGCUCUUUGAUUUCAGUUCCUAAACUUGUCUAGGUCACACCCAGUAAGGGUACUCCUGGGCCAUUAGCUCAGGUGGUUAGAGCGCACCCCUGAUAAGGGUGAGGUCCCUGGUUCAAGUCCAGGAUGGCCCAUUCGAUGUUGGGGGUAUAGCUCAGUUGGUAGAGCGCCUGCUUUGCAAGCAGGAUGUCAGCGGUUCGAGUCCGCUUACCUCCACUGAUCGAUAUCCUGAUUACUAACUCCAAGGGUAUUUACUUUCUUUACGUGACUUAGGCAUUUGCUAACUAAAUGAACCUAGCUUCAUAUCAUUCCAAUCCCUAUAUCCAAAAAUAUAGUGAAGGUUGAUAAGACGCUGGGCUCACUCCGAUUCAUAAAGAAUCUGGAGAUGUUCAGCAGAACCUUGACAACUGCAUAGGUAAGUCUGAAAAGAAUAAAGCAUCUCAUGGAUGCAUUAUUCAUUGAGCAAAUUUUUAUUUGUUGAAUGAAUAAUGUCUGAAUUCUUGAGCAAGAGCAAAGACUCCAUAAAACUUUUAUGGAGCUUAAUGGUCAAGCUACAA